This 497-nucleotide ribosomal RNA is filed under the name uncultured bacterium. RNAcentral describes it as "partial 16S ribosomal RNA". It matches the Rfam family "Bacterial small subunit ribosomal RNA", at positions 28 to 507 of the family's 1533-position model. The record is from RNAcentral.
GAUGAACGCUGGCGGCGUGCCUAAUACAUGCAAGUGGAGCGAACAGAUGAGGAGCUUGCUCCUCUGACGUUAGCGGCGGACGGGGGAGUAAAACGUGGAUAACCUACCUAUAAGACUGGGAUAACUUCGGGAAACCGGAGCUAAUACCGGAUAAUAUAUUGAACCGCAUGGUUCAAUAGUGAAAGACGGUUUUGCUGUCACUUAUAGAUGGAUCCGCGCCGCAUUAGCUAGUUGGUAAGGUAACGGCUUACCAAGGCAACGAUGCGUAGCCGACCUGAGAGGGUGAUCGGCCACACUGGAACUGAGACACGGUCCAGACUCCUACGGGAGGCAGCAGUAGGGAAUCUUCCGCAAUGGGCGAAAGCCUGACGGAGCAACGCCGCGUGAGUGAUGAAGGUCUUCGGAUCGUAAAACUCUGUUAUUAGGGAAGAACAAAUGUGUAAGUAACUAUGCACGUCUUGACGGUACCUAAUCAGAAAGCCACGGCUAACUACGUG